Molecule: transfer RNA, 74 nt
Filed under: Candidatus Omnitrophota bacterium
Lineage: Bacteria; Pseudomonadati; Candidatus Omnitrophota
Description: Candidatus Omnitrophica bacterium tRNA-His
Rfam family: tRNA
About the family: Transfer RNA (tRNA) molecules are approximately 80 nucleotides in length.
Source: RNAcentral
GUGGCUAUGGUGUAAUGGCAGCACGGGAGACUGUGGCUCUCCUAGAGCGGGUUCAAAUCCCGUUAGCCACCCCA